UGGGAAUCUUGCACAAUGGGCGAAAGCCUGAUGCAGCAACGCCGCGUGCGGGAAGACAGCCCUAGGGUUGUAAACCGCUUUCAGCAGGGAAGAAACUGACGGUACCUGCAGAAGAAGAUGCGGCCAACUACGUGCCAGCAGCCGCGGUGACACGUAGGCAUCAAGCGUUAUCCGGAUUUAUUGGGCGUAAAGAGCUCGUAGGCGGUUCGGUAAGUCGGGUGUGAAAACUCUGGGCUCAACCCAGAGAGGCCACUCGAUACUGCUGUGACUAGAGUGCGGUAGGGGAGCGGGGAAUUCCUGGUGUAGCGGUGAAAUGCGCAGAUAUCAGGAGGAACACCAGUGGCGAAGGCGCCGCUCUGGGCCGUAACUGACGCUGAGGAGCGAAAGCAUGGGUAGCAAACAGGAUUAGAUACCCUGGUAGUCCAUGCCGUAAACGAUGAAUGCCAGUCGUCGGGUAGCAUGCUAUUC
Molecule: ribosomal RNA, 468 nt
Filed under: uncultured bacterium
Lineage: Bacteria
Description: bacterial SSU rRNA
Rfam family: Bacterial small subunit ribosomal RNA
Source: RNAcentral